This 107-nucleotide small nuclear RNA is filed under the name Dufourea novaeangliae. Lineage: Eukaryota; Metazoa; Arthropoda; Insecta; Hymenoptera; Halictidae. The record is from RNAcentral.
GUACUUGCUUCGGCAGUACGUAUACUAAAAUUGGAAGGAUACAGAGAAGAUUAGCAUGGUCCCUGCGAAAGGAUGACACACAAAAUCGUGAAGCGUUCCACAUUUUG